Clupea harengus (Atlantic herring) is the source of this 1036-nucleotide long non-coding RNA. Lineage: Eukaryota; Metazoa; Chordata; Actinopteri; Clupeiformes; Clupeidae. The record is from Ensembl.
CUGGUUGUCACCACAACACCCGUUCCCCACAACCAGACCACCUCUGCCCCUACUGAAGCUGGUGGUGGAGCAAGUGAAGAUGCUGUGGCUACUACCCCAGCACCUAAUCCACACAACCAGACAACUUCUGCACAAACUGAAGUUACUGAUGAAGCCAGUGAAGAUGCUGUGGACCGCCAAAGUGAUGUGGUUUCCACCACAACACCCAAUCCCCACAACCAGACCACAUCUGCCCCUACUGAAGCUGAUGGAGCAAAUGAUGAUUCUGCAAAUGAAGAUGAUGAUGCUGCAAGUGAAGAUGCUGUGGCUACCACCCCAACACCAAAUCCCCCAACUACAUCUCACCACACUGCAGCUACCGAUGAUGCAAGUGAGGGUGCUGUGGCUGCCUAAACUGGAACUACUGUAUCCCAUACGACUGAAGUCUGAUUCGACUGCUCCUCUGGUCACAAUAACCUGUCUGGACUUUUUGCCUCUACAUGUUGACUGCAAUAAAGGACAGAUUUUGUAUUUUUUUUAAUCAAAUGUUGUCUUGCCUUUUUCAAAUUGAGGCCUUGUCCUGUUUUGGUAGUGGAGAUGACUAUGAAGCCUCUUUUCUAACGUAUUUCCUGUAGUGGUUUUACUAUAUGCUUCAUGCAACAAGGCCUUCAACGACUCUACAAUUUAAAAGCAUCUAGUUGUCUGAAUUUGUAAAAUGGUUGAACUGGUAGUGAUGCACUAUAAUGGUGAACUGCUUGUGGCAUUUCAAUAAUCUCUACUGUACUGUUUGACAUGUACAUCUCAAGUGAAUUUGCGUGGUAAUUGGUAAACUGAUGUCCGUCCCUACUAAGGGAGUACUGGCCUUAGUAGGCUAACGCCCUCAAUGUAACGGCUAUAUAAAUGGCAUACAGUGUAUGUACUUAACUUUUUAACACAGCGCUGAAUAUACCAUUACAUACUUGUGGUAUCUAUUUGUGGAAGCCUACCUUUACUAUAUCACAACUAGUUUGCUCUGCAUUAUAUAUUAGCAAAUCUGCUGUAAGUAAGGAAAAAUGAA